CAGGCCAGAAGAGGCGCGUUGCCCAAGUAACGGUGUUGGAGGAGCCAGUCCUGUGAUAACACCUGAGGGGGUGCAUCGCCGAGGUGAUUCAGACCAAAGUGGCGCGCCGUCGACCAGCUGGCGACGCGAUAUGCCACAUGCAGCGGCACAUUGUGUUGUUCGAUCAGGCGGCGAAUUAAGGCAUCGAUGUGUCCGUCUGGAGCUUCUAGGGGG
This 213-nucleotide non-coding RNA is filed under the name Rattus norvegicus (Norway rat). RNAcentral's name for it is "Lysine sequence". It matches the Rfam family "Lysine riboswitch aptamer". From Rfam's summary of the family: Riboswitches are metabolite binding domains within certain messenger RNAs that serve as precision sensors for their corresponding targets. Allosteric rearrangement of mRNA structure is mediated by ligand binding, and this results in modulation of gene expression. The record is from RNAcentral. Lineage: Eukaryota; Metazoa; Chordata; Mammalia; Rodentia; Muridae.